AGCAAUUAUGUUAAAAAUCUAAUUUUAGGUGCUAGUUCUAUCAUACCAUACUGUAGUUGGGGCAAGUAUCUCUAGGGUUCUGUUUUCUAAAAGCAAAACAAAAAAUAACAAGGAAAAAAACAAAAGAGACAACCCCCCCCCCCCUCCAAUAAUGAGCUGAGUGAGUGAAAUUGUAUUGAGAAAACUGCUUUCAAUAACCUCACCUAGCACCUCUUUCCUUUAUCAUACUGGUUUUGGGCCUCAUUUCUAUGUAUAGUAUUACAAGGGGGCUGGGCUGAUUGGGGAAGACUGGAGACUCAUUUCCUGCCAGCAAGGAAUCACUGUCUCAUCUCUUUUCAUUUCAAUUAAGCACCAAUGGUUGGCACACAGUAAGGAAACUGAGGUCUAGAGAGGCAGUCAGAGAAAAUCUAUUAGGCCAAAACAAUUUUCUGAGGUCCUGGGUCAAGGAAUUGUGGGUGUGGCCCAUAGAACCUUUAUUGCAUUUUGUUCAUUCAUUUGUUCAUGGAUUCAUUCCUUAAACAACCAUUUAUUAAGCAUUUACUACUAUGUGUGCAAAGUCCUGGGCUUUGAGUUGUAUUUUCAAUUCUUAUUACUAUUCUUUUGUGUCCGAUUUCAUUUAGCUUAAUGUCUUUAGGGCUCUUGAGUUUAUGGGUCUGUGCUAAUUUGUAUGACUUUAAAAUAUAUAUAUAGGUUUCUUGCUAUGCAGGAAUUUGAUGCUCCAAAAUAAUACUGCGAUACUAAUCACCAUCACAUCUUAAGUGCCCUCCCAUGUGUGACCAGGAAUCUUGACGUAUUCCUGAAUAAAAGGGAUGUCAAUGUGUGGUUUAUCCCUCGAACUGAACCUAUUCAUGUGGGAAAAACGCCCAGAAAUAAUUAUUCUCUUCAGACCUUGAGGCCGAAUCAAACCUUUGGUACAACACGAGUCACCAAUCUUCCCCGUAACCACCUGCCUAGGAAGAGUCACAAUUUCUCUGGGGAUGGUGAAAUUGAAAAUGCAUGUUUUGGAAGAAUUUUGGCUGCCGAUUUACCAAUUUACCAAUUUCUCCAUGGGAUGAAUAGUUUCAAUCUUGCCCUCAGCCAUAAGAUUGAAUCCAAAAUCCUAGACAUGUUACAAAUGUGAGUUAUUGGUAGAAUAUAUGCUUCUUGAGAGCAGGAACUGCCAUUUGGUCUUUGUAUUCCCAAAAUCCAAUAUAGGGCCUAGCAUAUAGCUAAUGCUUACUAAUGCCUGUCAUAUUGGAUUGGAAAUAAUUGUGAAUAAGGUGAAAGGGUGUGAGUUUGUGGAUGACUCAGUGAAAUCUCAUCCUGGCCAUUGGGAUCAGGAAUCAUCACCCCACAAUGGUAAGUCAGAAAGGAUUACCUCUGUCUCUUGAAAUUAAUUAUUUCCUUUAAGACCUACCUCAUGGGUCACCUUCUAUGUAAAGCCUUUGGUAGUUUCCUCUGCCCUUAGGAUGCACUAAAUGGCUAUUCUCCUCUUCCCUCUUCUUUAUACCCAAAUUAUCCCAUGUUCAUUUUACAUAUAUUAUGCAUAUACAUAUAUUCUUAUCAUUUUCAUCAUUAGAAUAUAUAUUUCUUGGGGUCAAGGACUUUGUUACUUUUGGUUUUGUAUUCAUAACAAACACAGUGCCUAGCACAUAGCAGGUGCUUAAUAAAUACUUCUUGAUUAAGUUAUUAUAUAUAACA
Molecule: long non-coding RNA, 1680 nt
Filed under: Monodelphis domestica (gray short-tailed opossum)
Lineage: Eukaryota; Metazoa; Chordata; Mammalia; Didelphimorphia; Didelphidae
Description: lncRNA (ENSMODG00000036837.1)
Source: RNAcentral